Diceros bicornis minor is the source of this 1603-nucleotide RNA transcript. It is a transcript of the gene named thiopurine S-methyltransferase, with no coding region annotated. The record is from RefSeq and is a predicted model, not a curated record. Lineage: Eukaryota; Metazoa; Chordata; Mammalia; Perissodactyla; Rhinocerotidae. The transcript is spliced from 10 exons.
GGGCGCGCCGUCCCAGCCUGUGGGGCCCGCGGCGUCGCCAGAGCCAGCGGCAGGCGCCCGGCUGCGCGCGAGGUGAGGGAGGAAACCAGACUUGGGAGUCCAAGAAGGACAUAUGCGAGCAGAGUGGCGCAUCUGCUGUUUCUGUAACUAUGGCCCCAAGGACUUGAUCCUUGCAACAGAGAUUGGGAGAUCCAUCUAUGGAAAGUCUGACCAGCCCAAAGAAAGGAAGAAGACAAACCAACAGAAAAACCAACUCGCAUUGGAGACAUCUGCUUGUGAGACAAAGGUGUCUAUGAAACUAUGGAUGGUACAAGAACUUCACAUGAUAUCAAACAGUACCCUGAUACUGAGGCUAUUAAAGAAGCAUUUGGAUACUUUUCUUAAAGGCGAGAGUGGACUGAGGGUAUUUUUUCCUCUUUGUGGAAAAGCAGUUGAGAUGAAAUGGUUUGCAGACCGAGGACACAGUGUAGUUGGUGUAGAAAUCAGUGAACUUGCAAUACGGGAAUUUUUUACAGAGCACAAUCUUUCUUAUUCAGAAGAACCAAUCAUGGAAAUUCCCGGAGCCAAAGUAUUCAAGAGCUCCUCGGGGAACAUUUCAUUGUACUGUUGCAACCUUUUUGAUCUUCCCAGAACAAAUAUUGGCAAAUUUGACAGGAUUUGGGAUAGAGGAGCAUUAGUUGCUGUUAAUCCAGGUGAUCACAAACGCUAUGCGGAUGUAAUGCUGUCCCUGACGAGAAAAGGGUUUCACUACCUCUUGGUUGUGGUUUCUUAUGACCCAACUAAACAUAUAGGUAAAAGUCUUUUUGUUUUUCUUUUUCCAGUUGCUUCGUUUCCUGAUUUAAUUCUGUGACAUGGAUAGCAUUAUUUUCUCCUAAUUUAUCUCAUAGGAAGCAUACUGCUUAUAAACGUGAAGAUAAGUCUAUUUUUGGAUAAUGGAAACUAUCAACAUUUUUUUCUCUUCCCACUCUGUACAUGUUUGUCUCAUAUUCCAUUCCCGUUUUGUUUACCAUUCACAGCUCAAAGUACAAAAGAGAGGGAGAAAUGGAUGGUCCUAAUAUAAAAGAGAAAUCUCAUCAGCCCUGGCUUAGGAGGAAGAGAGAUUUGGUUAUCUUGAUCUGGACAUAGCCUAUUUAUGUCAUCCAUGGUGGUGGGGAUAUGUUGUGCAGAUGCCUAUGAAUACACACACAAACAUAGCCUCAUAAGAUGAUAGGGUGAGAAGUGGACAUGGCAGGUAGGAGGUGUGCAAGAAAAUCUCUAAAUUACAUAUUGCUGUUAUUUAAUUUAUGAAAUUUUAUAAUUUAUUAAUUGCAUUCUUUUAUAACUCUCUUUGUUUUGAAUUUGUGAAAGUGAUGUUUUCUCCUGGACUCAUUUUGAUAUGUUUGAACAUUAAAGUUUAAUCUUUUUUUUUGAGGAAGAUUGGCCCUGAGCUAACGUCUGUUGCCAAUCUUCCUCUUUUUCUUUUUUCUCCCUAAAGCCCCAGUACAUAGUUGUGUAUCCUAGUUGUAGGUCCUUCUAGUUCUUCUAUGUGGGACGCUGCCUCAGCAUGGCUUGAUGAGCGGCCCACCAUUUUUUGUUCCAGAUGCUGAAAUUAAAAGACUAUUUG